Molecule: ribosomal RNA, 406 nt
Filed under: uncultured bacterium
Lineage: Bacteria
Description: partial 16S ribosomal RNA
Rfam family: Bacterial small subunit ribosomal RNA
Source: RNAcentral
AUUGAACGCUGGCGGCAGGCCUAACACAUGCAAGUCGAGCGAGCGGCGGACGGGUGAGUAAUAUCUGGGAAACUGCCUGAUGGCGGGGGAUAACUACUGGAGACGGUAGCUAAUACCGCAUACCAUCAGAUGUGCCCCGAUGGGAUUAGCUAGUAGGUGGGGUAAAGGGUCACCUAGGCGACGAUCCCUAGCUGGUCUGAGAGGAUGAACAGGCAAACCGGAACGUGGGAACGGUCCAGAACCCUACGGGAGGCAGCAGUGGGGAAUAUUUGACAAUGGGCGCAAGCCUGAUGCAGCCAUGGCGCGUGUGUGAAGAAGGCCUUCGGGUUGUAAAGCACUUUCAGCGGGGAGGCGUUAACCGCAGAAGAAGCACCGGCCAACUCCGUGGCAGCAGCCGCGGUAAUAC